RNAcentral lists this ribosomal RNA (231 nucleotides) under uncultured bacterium. RNAcentral's name for it is "partial 16S ribosomal RNA". It matches the Rfam family "Bacterial small subunit ribosomal RNA", at positions 524 to 753 of the family's 1533-position model. The record is from RNAcentral.
UACGUAGGGUGCGAGCGUUUAAUCCGGAAUUACUGGGCGUAAAGCGUGCGCAGGCGGUUUGUAAGCCAGAUGUGAAAUCCCCGGGCUUAACCUGGGAAUGGCAUUUGGGACUGCAAGGCUUGAGUGCGGCAGAGGAGACUGGAAUUCCUGGUGUAGCAGUGAAAUGCGUAGAUAUCAGGAGGACACCGAUGGCGAAGGCAGGUCUCUGGGCUGACACUGACGCUCAUGACA